This 484-nucleotide ribosomal RNA is filed under the name uncultured bacterium. RNAcentral's name for it is "partial 16S ribosomal RNA". It matches the Rfam family "Bacterial small subunit ribosomal RNA", at positions 29 to 507 of the family's 1533-position model. The record is from RNAcentral.
AUUGAACGCUGGCGGCAUGCUUUACACAUGCAAGUCGAACGGCAGCGCGGGCUUCGGCCUGGCGGCGAGUGGCGAACGGGUGAGUAAUACAUCGGAACGUGCCCAGUAGUGGGGGAUAGCUCGGCGAAAGCCGGAUUAAUAUCGCAUACGACCUGAGGGUGAAAGCGGGGGAUCUUCGGACCUCGCGCUAUUGGAGCGGCCGAUGGCAGAUUAGCUCGCUGGUGGGGUAAAGGCCUACCAAGGCGACGAUCUGUAGCUGGUCUGAGAGGACGACCAGCCACACUGGGACUGAGACACGGCCCAGACUCCUACGGGAGGCAGCAGUGGGGAAUUUUGGACAAUGGGCGAAAGCCUGAUCGAGCAAUGCCGCGUGUGUGAUGAAGGCCUUCGGGUUGUAAAGCACUGUUAGCGGGAACGAAAAGGACUGUGCCAAUACCACGGUUCGAUGACGGUACCCGCAGAAUAAGCACCGGCUAACUACGUG